AUGAACGCUGGCGGCGUGCUUAACACAUGCAAGUCGAACGGGAAACCUUUUAAUGAAGCUUCGGCAGAUUUAGCUGGUUUCUAGUGGCGGACGGGUGAGUAACGCGUGGGUAACCUGCCUUAUACAGGGGGAUAACAGUCAGAAAUGACUGCUAAUACCGCAUAAGCGCACAGGACCGCAUGGUCCGGUGUGAAAAACUCCGGUGGUAUAAGAUGGACCCGCGUUGGAUUAGCUUGUUGGUGGGGUAACGGCUCACCAAGGCGACGAUCCAUAGCCGGCCUGAGAGUGUGAACGGCCACAUUGGGACUGAGACACGGCCCAGACUCCUACGGGAGGCAGCAGUGGGGAAUAUUGCACAAUGGGGGAAACCCUGAUGCAGCGACGCCGCGUGAAGGAAGAAGUAUCUCGGUAUGUAAACUUCUAUCAGCAGGGAAGAUAGUGACGGUACCUGACUAAGAAGCCCCGGCUAACUACGUG
RNAcentral lists this ribosomal RNA (477 nucleotides) under uncultured bacterium. RNAcentral's name for it is "partial 16S ribosomal RNA". It matches the Rfam family "Bacterial small subunit ribosomal RNA", at positions 29 to 507 of the family's 1533-position model. The record is from RNAcentral.